This 921-nucleotide ribosomal RNA is filed under the name Triticum aestivum (bread wheat). RNAcentral describes it as "partial small subunit ribosomal RNA". Lineage: Eukaryota; Viridiplantae; Streptophyta; Magnoliopsida; Poales; Poaceae. The record is from RNAcentral.
AUGCAAGCGUGGUGCUCGGCCGUCGGCGCCACGCCGUACUUGGCCUCCAUGUUGUCGAAGUACUCCCAGGCUUCGGUGACCAGGCCCAUGGAUCGGCAUGCGGUGAGCACCGCCGUGAAUGUUACGCCGUCCGGCUUCAGCCCCGACCUCCACAUGUCGUGGAACAGCGCCGCCGCCUCGUGUGCCUGCCCGUGCACGGCCAGCCCGGUGAGCAUCGCGUUGCAGCACCGCAGCGGAGGCCGGGCUCGACGCGGCCACCCGCUUGCUGCGCCCCGUGCUCAGUGGCGUGUUCAGCAUGCCGCUGCUGGCGCACUACAAGGUCGACCCCAAGCGCAACCGGCUGCUCAUGGUGGCCUGCAACACCGAGGACAUGCUCCUCCCGCGCGCCAACUUCACUUUCUACGAGUUCGACGCCGGCUUCAGGCUGGUGCAGAAGAUGGAGUUCGUGCUGCCAGCGCACCUCAUGAUCCACGACUGGGCCUUCACCGACUCCCACUACGUCGUCCUCGGCAACAAGAUCAGGCUCGACAUCCCGGGGUCGAUGCUGGCCAUGACGCGCACGCACCCCAUGAUCGCGGCGCUCGCGCUGGACCCGGGCAGGCGGACCACGCCGGUCUACCUGCUGCCGCGCUCCACGGAGGCCGUGGCCAGCGGCCGCGACUGGACCGUGCCCGUCGAGGCGCCGUCGCAGAUGUGGUCGCUGCACGUCGGCAACACCUUCGAGGAGGACAACGGCCGGGGCGGCCUCGACCUGCACCUGCACAUGUCGGGCUGCUCCUACGAUUGGUUCCAUUUCCACAAGAUGUUUGGUUACAACUGGAAGAACAAGAAGCUGGAGCCUUCCUUCAUGAACGCAGUGAAGACCAAGGAAAUGCUGCCUCUUGUUCUUACGUGAAUAAUUGUGUAGUGCGGGUUCAUUAG